GAGUUUGAUCCUGGCUCAGGACGAACGCUGGCGGCGUGCCUAACACAUGCAAGUCGAGCGGAGACAUACGACGGAGAAGAAGUUUUCGGAUGGAUUCAAAGAUGUAUGUUUUAGCGGCGGACGGGUGAGUAACGCGUGAGCAACCUGUCCUUCACAGGGGGAUAACACAGCGAAAGUUGUACUAAUACCGCAUGAGACCACGGAGCCACAUGGCUCAGGGGUCAAAGGAGCAAUCCGGUGAAGGGUGGGCUCGCGUCCGAUUAGAUAGUAGGUGAGGUAACGGCCCACCUAGUCGACGAUCGGUAGCCGACCUGAGAGGGUGAUCGGCCACAUUGGGACUGAGACACGGCCCAAACUCCUACGGGAGGCAGCAGUGGGGAAUAUUGGGCAAUGGGGGGAACCCUGACCCAGCAACGCCGCGUGAGGGAAGAAGGUUUUCGGAUCGUAAACCUCUGUCCUUGGUGAAGAGGAAGAGACGGUAGCCAAGGAGGAAGCCCCGGCUAACUACGUGCCAGCAGCCGCGGUAAUACGUAGGGGGCGAGCGUUGUCCGGAAUGAUUGGGCGUAAAGGGCGCGUAGGCGGCCCUAUAAGUCUGAAGUGAAAGUCCUGGCUUCAAGUUGGGAAUUGCUUUGGAUACUGUAGGGCUUGAGUGCAGGAGAGGUAAGUGGAAUUCCCAGUGUAGCGGUGAAAUGCGUAGAGAUUGGGAGGAACACCAGUGGCGAAGGCGACUUACUGGACUGUAACUGACGCUGAGGCGCGAAAGUGUGGGGAGCAAACAGGAUUAGAUACCCUGGUAGUCCACACUGUAAACGAUGAAUGCUAGGUGUAGGGGGUAUCGACCCCUUCUGUGCCGCAGUUAACACAAUAAGCAUUCCGCCUGGGGAGUACGGCCGCAAGGUUGAAACUCAAAGGAAUUGACGGGGGCCCGCACAAGCAGCGGAGCAUGUGGUUUAAUUCAACGCAACGCGAAGAACCUUACCAGGUCUUGACAUCCAGUAAAAGCCAUAGAGAUAUGGUGUGAGCUUGCUCAUACUGAGACAGGUGGUGCUUGGUUGUCGUCAGCUCGUGUCGUGAGAUGUUCCACGC
Molecule: ribosomal RNA, 1086 nt
Filed under: uncultured bacterium
Lineage: Bacteria
Description: bacterial SSU rRNA
Rfam family: Bacterial small subunit ribosomal RNA
Source: RNAcentral